UACGUAGGGGGCAAGCGUUGUCCGGAAUCAUUGGGCGUAAAGAGCGUGUAGGCGGCCAGAUAAGUCCGCUGUGAAAUCUCGAGGCUCAACUUCGAGCUGUCGGUGGAAACUGUCUGGCUAGAGUCCGGAAGAGGAGAAUGGAAUUCCUGGUGUAGCGGUGAAAUGCGCGGAUAUCAGGAAGAACACCCGUGGCGAAGGCGGUUCUCUGGGACGGUACUGACGCUGAGACGCGAAAGCGUGGGGAGCGAACAGG
Molecule: ribosomal RNA, 253 nt
Filed under: uncultured bacterium
Lineage: Bacteria
Description: partial 16S ribosomal RNA
Rfam family: Bacterial small subunit ribosomal RNA
Source: RNAcentral